RNAcentral lists this small RNA (238 nucleotides) under Pongo abelii (Sumatran orangutan). Its description in RNAcentral is "processed transcript". Lineage: Eukaryota; Metazoa; Chordata; Mammalia; Primates; Hominidae. The record is from RNAcentral.
GUCAUCUGUUCCGACAAGACAGGCACCCUCACCACCAACCAGAUGUCUGUCUGCAAGGGUCUUCCACUGACUCAGGCCAAGAACCCCUGCCCUUUGCAGAGUUUUGUGGAAGACUACACCCAUGAACUAGAAAUUGCUGUUCUGAGAAUCAAGAGCUGUGUGGUCAGAUCAGGAUGUUUAUCAUUGACAAGGUGGAUGGGGACAUCUGCCUCCUGAAUGAGUUCUCCAUCACCGGCUC